AAGAAUCUAACAAAAUUAUACGUAUAAAAUGGCUACUGGUGCUCGGUCGGCGGUGGUGGAAACAAUAGCAGAGGAGGAUUAGGAGGCGGUGAAGACAAUGGCAGUGGAGGAUUAGGAGACGGUGGCUCCAGGGGAGGCAUAGGAAGUACUUGUCGUUGUUGCGGAUGCAGAGCAGCCGGAGGCAUAAGACGCGGCGGAAUUACCUGCCAUUGUUGCGAAUGCAGAGAAGCCGAAGGCAUAAAGCGCGGCGGAAUUACCUGCCAUGGUUGUGACGGCAGAGUAACCCGAGGCUGUAAACAAGUCAUAGGACGUGAAGAAAUCACCUGCCAUUGUUGUUGCGGAGGCCCUUGCUCCAUCUUUAAUUUCUUUACUUUUUUUCGGAGACGUUCAAGAUCUUCCUUUCAGC
RNAcentral lists this long non-coding RNA (406 nucleotides) under Vigna radiata. RNAcentral's name for it is "long non-coding RNA (VRAD_LNC007686)". The record is from RNAcentral. Lineage: Eukaryota; Viridiplantae; Streptophyta; Magnoliopsida; Fabales; Fabaceae.